RNAcentral lists this ribosomal RNA (253 nucleotides) under uncultured bacterium. RNAcentral's name for it is "partial 16S ribosomal RNA". It matches the Rfam family "Bacterial small subunit ribosomal RNA", at positions 524 to 776 of the family's 1533-position model. The record is from RNAcentral.
UACGGAGGGGGCUAGCGUUGUUCGGAAUUACUGGGCGUAAAGCGCACGUAGGCGGCUUUGUAAGUUAGAGGGGAAAGCCCAGGGCUUAACCCUGGAAUUGCCUUUGAGACUGCAUCGCUCGAAUUGUGGAGAGGUGAGUGGAAUUCCGAGUGUAGAGGUGAAAUUCGUAGAUAUUCGGAAGAACACCAGUGGCGAAGGCGACUCACUGGACACAUAUUGACGCUGAGGUGCGAAAGCGUGGGGAGCAAACAGG